GUAUAUGAUGUACAAAAGUUUUUGAUACUUUUAGAGAUAGUUUAACUCUAUC
RNAcentral lists this transfer RNA (52 nucleotides) under Callicerus obscurus. RNAcentral's name for it is "tRNA-Gln". The record is from RNAcentral. Lineage: Eukaryota; Metazoa; Arthropoda; Insecta; Coleoptera; Staphylinidae.